UACGUAGGGUGCGAGCGUUGUCCGGAAUUAUUGGGCGUAAAGGGCUCGUAGGCGGUCUGUCGCGUCGGGAGUGAAAACUCAGGGCUUAACCCUGAGCCUGCUCCGAUACGGGCAGACUAGAGGUAUGCAGGGGAGAAUGGAAUUCCUGGUGUAGCGGUGAAAUGCGCAGAUAUCAGGAGGAACACCGGUGGCGAAGGCGGUUCUCUGGGCAUUACCUGACGCUGAGACGCGAAAGCGUGGGGAGCGAACAGG
This 252-nucleotide ribosomal RNA is filed under the name uncultured bacterium. RNAcentral's name for it is "partial 16S ribosomal RNA". It matches the Rfam family "Bacterial small subunit ribosomal RNA", at positions 524 to 776 of the family's 1533-position model. The record is from RNAcentral.